Molecule: ribosomal RNA, 1170 nt
Filed under: Blattabacterium cuenoti
Lineage: Bacteria; Pseudomonadati; Bacteroidota; Flavobacteriia; Flavobacteriales; Blattabacteriaceae
Description: bacterial SSU rRNA
Rfam family: Bacterial small subunit ribosomal RNA
Source: RNAcentral
UUUUGAUGGCGACCGGCGGACGGGUGCGUAACASGUAUGUAACCUACCUUUUUCUAGAANAUAGCCUGAGGAAACUCGGAUUAAUAUUCUAUAAUAUAGUAUUUUCGCAUGAAAAUAUUAUUAAAGCAGAAAUGCGGAAAAAGAUGGGCAUGCGCCCGAUUAGUUAGUUGGUGGGGUAAAGGCCUACCAAGACGAUGAUCGGUAGGGGGCCUGAGAGGGUGAUCCCCCACACUGGUACUGAGAUACGGACCAGACUCCUACGGGAGGCAGCAGUGAGGAAUAUUGGUCAAUGGAGGAAACUCUGAACCAGCCACGCCGCGUGCAGGAAGAAUGCCUUAUGGGUUGUAAACUGCUUUUGUUUAGGAAUAAAAAUUUCUACGUGAUAGAAAUUGUGAAGGUACUAAACGAAUAAGUGUCGGCAAACUCCGUGCCAGCAGCCGCGGUAAUACGGAGGACACAAGCGUUAUCCGGAUUUAUUGGGUUUAAAGAGUGCGUAGGCGGUUUAUUAAGUCAGUAGUGAAAUGUUACAGCUUAACUGUUAAAAUGGCUAAUGAUACUGAUAGACUUGAGUGAGAUUGGAGUAACUGGAAUGUGUGGUGUAGCGGUGAAAUGCAUAGAGAUCACACAGAACACCGAUCGCGAAAGCAGGUUACUAAAUCUAUACUGACGCUGAGGCACGAAAGCGUGGGGAGCAAACAGGAUUAGAUACCCUGGUAGUCCACGCCGUAAACGAUGAUCACUAGUCGUUGGAUUUUAUUAUUCAGUGGCUAAGCGAAAGUGAUAAGUGAUCCACCUGGGGAGUACGAUCGCAAGGUUGAAACUCAAAGGAAUUGACGGGGGCCCGCACAAGCGGUGGAGCAUGUGGUUUAAUUCGAUGAUACGCGAGGAACCUUACCAAGGUUUAAAUGUACUACGAAUAAGCUAGAAAUAGUUUAGUCUUCGGACGGAGUACAAGAUGCUGCAUGGUUGUCGUCAGCUCGUGCCGUGAGGUGUUGGGUUAAGUCCCUCAACGAGCGCAACCCUCAUUGUUAGUUGCCAACGAAUAAUGUCGGGGACUCUAGCAAGACUGCCGACGUAAGUCGAGAGGAAGGUGGGGACGACGUCAAAUCAUCACGGCUCUUAUAUCUUGGGCUACACACGUGCUACAAUGGUCGGUACAAAGGGUUGCUA